RNAcentral lists this microRNA precursor (61 nucleotides) under Pristionchus pacificus. Its description in RNAcentral is "mir-8364 microRNA precursor family". It matches the Rfam family "mir-8364 microRNA precursor family". The record is from Rfam by way of RNAcentral. Lineage: Eukaryota; Metazoa; Nematoda; Chromadorea; Rhabditida; Neodiplogasteridae.
UCUGCACUUCGCACGCUAUCUCACCGGUCAGAGAGGCGAGAGAGUGUGUGAAAUGAAGAGA